RNAcentral lists this ribosomal RNA (1595 nucleotides) under Escherichia coli. Its description in RNAcentral is "partial 23S ribosomal RNA". It matches the Rfam family "Bacterial large subunit ribosomal RNA", at positions 251 to 1869 of the family's 2925-position model. The record is from RNAcentral. Lineage: Bacteria; Pseudomonadati; Pseudomonadota; Gammaproteobacteria; Enterobacterales; Enterobacteriaceae.
GAGCGAACGGGGAGGAGCCCAGAGCCUGAAUCAGUGUGUGUGUUAGUGGAAGCGUCUGGAAAGGCGCGCGAUACAGGGUGACAGCCCCGUACACAAAAAUGCACAUGCUGUGAGCUCGAUGAGUAGGGCGGGACACGUGGUAUCCUGUCUGAAUAUGGGGGGACCAUCCUCCAAGGCUAAAUACUCCUGACUGACCGAUAGUGAACCAGUACCGUGAGGGAAAGGCGAAAAGAACCCCGGCGAGGGGAGUGAAAAAGAACCUGAAACCGUGUACGUACAAGCAGUGGGAGCACAGAGCAAUCUGUGUGACUGCGUACCUUUUGUAUAAUGGGUCAGCGACUUAUAUUCUGUAGCAAGGUUAACCGAAUAGGGGAGCCGAAGGGAAACCGAGUCUUAACUGGGCGUUAAGUUGCAGGGUAUAGACCCGAAACCCGGUGAUCUAGCCAUGGGCAGGUUGAAGGUUGGGUAACACUAACUGGAGGACCGAACCGACUAAUGUUGAAAAAUUAGCGGAUGACUUGUGGCUGGGGGUGAAAGGCCAAUCAAACCGGGAGAUAGCUGGUUCUCCCCGAAAGCUAUUUAGGUAGCGCCUCGUGAAUUCAUCUCCGGGGGUAGAGCACUGUUUCGGCAAGGGGGUCAUCCCGACUUACCAACCCGAUGCAAACUGCGAAUACCGGAGAAUGUUAUCACGGGAGACACACGGCGGGUGCUAACGUCCGUCGUGAAGAGGGAAACAACCCAGACCGCCAGCUAAGGUCCCAAAGUCAUGGUUAAGUGGGAAACGAUGUGGGAAGGCCCAGACAGCCAGGAUGUUGGCUUAGAAGCAGCCAUCAUUUAAAGAAAGCGUAAUAGCUCACUGGUCGAGUCGGCCUGCGCGGAAGAUGUAACGGGGCUAAACCAUGCACCGAAGCUGCGGCAGCGACACUAUGUGUUGUUGGGUAGGGGAGCGUUCUGUAAGCCUGUGAAGGUGUGCUGUGAGGCAUGCUGGAGGUAUCAGAAGUGCGAAUGCUGACAUAAGUAACGAUAAAGCGGGUGAAAAGCCCGCUCGCCGGAAGACCAAGGGUUCCUGUCCAACGUUAAUCGGGGCAGGGUGAGUCGACCCCUAAGGCGAGGCCGAAAGGCGUAGUCGAUGGGAAACAGGUUAAUAUUCCUGUACUUGGUGUUACUGCGAAGGGGGGACGGAGAAGGCUAUGUUGGCCGGGCGACGGUUGUCCCGGUUUAAGCGUGUAGGCUGGUUUUCCAGGCAAAUCCGGAAAAUCAAGGCUGAGGCGUGAUGACGAGGCACUACGGUGCUGAAGCAACAAAUGCCCUGCUUCCAGGAAAAGCCUCUAAGCAUCAGGUAACAUCAAAUCGUACCCCAAACCGACACAGGUGGUCAGGUAGAGAAUACCAAGGCGCUUGAGAGAACUCGGGUGAAGGAACUAGGCAAAAUGGUGCCGUAACUUCGGGAGAAGGCACGCUGAUAUGUAGGUGAAGCGACUUGCUCGUGGAGCUGAAAUCAGUCGAAGAUACCAGCUGGCUGCAACUGUUUAUUAAAAACACAGCACUGUGCAAACACGAAAGUGGACGUAUACGGUGUGACGCCUGCCCGGUGC